AUACUUACCUGGAUGGGGUCAAUGGGUGGUCAAGGUGGCCCAUGUUCUAGGGUUGUGACCUCCAUUGCACUUAUGAGGGGUGCUUCUCUAAGGUCUAUCCAAGUGGUGGAGCCUACAUCAUAAUUUGUGCCAGUCGGGGCCAGCGUUCGCGCGGCCCCUUC
Non-coding RNA from Lupinus albus (white lupine), 161 nucleotides. The record is from the annotation of a GenBank genome assembly. Lineage: Eukaryota; Viridiplantae; Streptophyta; Magnoliopsida; Fabales; Fabaceae.